RNAcentral lists this ribosomal RNA (216 nucleotides) under unidentified marine eubacterium. RNAcentral describes it as "partial 16S ribosomal RNA". It matches the Rfam family "Bacterial small subunit ribosomal RNA", at positions 527 to 742 of the family's 1533-position model. The record is from RNAcentral.
GAAGGGACCUAGCGUAGUUCGGAAUUACUGGGCUUAAAGAGUUCGUAGGUGGUUAAAAAAGUUGGUGGUGAAAGCCCAGAGCUUAACUCUGGAACGGCCAUCAAAACUUUUUAGCUAGAGUAUGAUAGAGGAAAGCAGAAUUUCUAGUGUAGAGGUGAAAUUCGUAGAUAUUAGAAAGAAUACCAAUUGCGAAGGCAGCUUUCUGGAUCAUUACUG